RNAcentral lists this ribosomal RNA (223 nucleotides) under uncultured bacterium. RNAcentral's name for it is "partial 16S ribosomal RNA". It matches the Rfam family "Bacterial small subunit ribosomal RNA", at positions 15 to 228 of the family's 1533-position model. The record is from RNAcentral.
GAUCAUGGCUCAGGACGAACGCUGGCGGCGUGCCUAAUACAUGCAAGUAGAACGCUGAAGGAGGAGCUUGCUUCUCUGGAUGAGUUGCGAACGGGUGAGUAACGCGUAGGUAACCUGCCUGGUAGCGGGGGAUAACGUAUUGGAAACGAUAGCUAAUACCGCAUAAGAGUAGAUGUUGCAUGGACAUUUACUUAAAAGGUGCAAUUGCAUCACUACCAGAUGG